Molecule: ribosomal RNA, 2291 nt
Filed under: Staphylococcus xylosus
Lineage: Bacteria; Bacillati; Bacillota; Bacilli; Caryophanales; Staphylococcaceae
Description: bacterial LSU rRNA
Rfam family: Bacterial large subunit ribosomal RNA
Source: RNAcentral
AAAAGAUUAAGUUAUUAAGGGCGCACGGUGGAUGCCUUGGCACUAGAAGCCGAUGAAGGACGUUACUAACGACGAUAUGCUUUGGGGAGCUGUAAGUAAGCUUUGAUCCAGAGAUUUCCGAAUGGGGAAACCCAGCAUGAGUUAUGUCAUGUUAUCGAUAUGUGAAUACAUAGCAUAUCUGAAGGUAGACGCGGAGAACUGAAACAUCUUAGUACCCGCAGGAAGAGAAAGAAAAAUCGAUUCCCUGAGUAGCGGCGAGCGAAACGGGAAGAGCCCAAACCAACGAGCUUGCUUGUUGGGGUUGUAGGACACUCUAUACGGAGUUACAAAAGAAUAAACUAGACGAAUCAUCUGGAAAGAUGAAUCAAAGAAGGUAAUAAUCCUGUAGUCGAAAGUUUAUUCACUCUUGAGUGGAUCCUGAGUACGACGGAACACGAGAAAUUCCGUCGGAAUCCGGGAGGACCAUCUCCCAAGGCUAAAUACUCUCUAGUGACCGAUAGUGAACCAGUACCGUGAGGGAAAGGUGAAAAGUACCCCGGAAGGGGAGUGAAAUAGAACUUGAAACCGUGUGCUUACAAGUAGUCAGAGCCCGUUAAUGGGUGAUGGCGUGCCUUUUGUAGAAUGAACCGGCGAGUUACGAUUUGAUGCAAGGUUAAGCAGUGAAUGUGGAGCCGUAGCGAAAGCGAGUCUGAAUAGGGCGUUGAGUAUUUGGUCGUAGACCCGAAACCAGGUGAUCUACCCAUGACCAGGUUGAAGUUCAGGUAACACUGAAUGGAGGACCGAACCGACUUACGUUGAAAAGUGAGCGGAUGAGUUGUGGGUAGCGGAGAAAUUCCAAUCGAACCUGGAGAUAGCUGGUUCUCUCCGAAAUAGCUUUAGGGCUAGCCUCAAGUGAUGAUUAUUGGAGGUAGAGCACUGUUUGGACGAGGGGCCCUUAUCGGGUUACCGAAUUCAGACAAACUCCGAAUGCCAAUCAAUUUAACUUGGGAGUUAGAACGCGGGUGAUAAGGUCCGUGUUCGAAAGGGAAACAGCCCAGACCACCAGCUAAGGUCCCAAAAUAUAUGUUAAGUGGAAAAGGAUGUGGCGUUGCCCAGACAACUAGGAUGUUGGCUUAGAAGCAGCCAUCAUUUAAAGAGUGCGUAAUAGCUCACUAGUCGAGUGACACUGCGCCGAAAAUGUACCGGGGCUAAACAUAUUACCGAAGCUGUGGAUUGUCCGUAAGGACAAUGGUAGGAGAGCGUUCUAAGGGCGUUGAAGCAUGAUCGCAAGGACAUGUGGAGCGCUUAGAAGUGAGAAUGCCGGUGUGAGUAGCGAAAGACGGGUGAGAAUCCCGUCCACCGAUUGACUAAGGUUUCCAGAGGAAGGCUCGUCCGCUCUGGGUUAGUCGGGUCCUAAGCUGAGGCCGAUAGGCGUAGGCGAUGGAUAACAGGUUGAUAUUCCUGUACCACCAUAAUUCGUUUUAAGCGAUGGGGGGACGCAGUAGGAUAGGCGAAGCGUACUAUUGGAUUGUACGUCCAAGCAGUAAGACUGAGUGUUAGGCAAAUCCGGCACUCUUAAGGUCAAGCUGUGAUGGGGAGAGGAAAUUGUUUCCUCGAGUCGUUGAUUUCACACUGCCAAGAAAAGCCUCUAGCUAGAAUUGUGGUGCCCGUACCGCAAACCGACACAGGUAGUCAAGAUGAGAAUUCUAAGGUGAGCGAGCGAACUCUCGUUAAGGAACUCGGCAAAAUGACCCCGUAACUUCGGGAGAAGGGGUGCUCUUUAGGGUUAACGCCCAGGAGAGCCGCAGUGAAUAGGCCCAAGCGACUGUUUAUCAAAAACACAGGUCUCUGCUAAACCGUAAGGUGAUGUAUAGGGGCUGACGCCUGCCCGGUGCUGGAAGGUUAAGAGGAGUGGUUAGCUUCUGCGAAGCUACGAAUCGAAGCCCCAGUAAACGGCGGCCGUAACUAUAACGGUCCUAAGGUAGCGAAAUUCCUUGUCGGGUAAGUUCCGACCCGCACGAAAGGCGUAACGAUUUGGGCACUGUCUCAACGAGAGACUCGGUGAAAUCAUAGUACCUGUGAAGAUGCAGGUUACCCGCGACAGGACGGAAAGACCCCGUGGAGCUUUACUGUAGUCUGAUAUUGAAAUUCGGCACAGCUUGUACAGGAUAGGUAGGAGCCUGAGAUGCGUGAGCGCUAGCUUACGUGGAGGCGUUGGUGGGAUACUACCCUCGCUGUGUUGGAUUUCUAACCCGCACCAUUUAUCAUGGUGGGAGACAGUGUCAGAUGGGCAGUUUGACUGGGGCGGUCGC